UUACGACCAUAUCACAUUGAAACACCGAUUCUGAUACGAUCACCGAAGUUCAGCAACAUCAAGCCUGAUCAGUACCUAGAUAGGUGACCGCUUGGCAAUACCAGGCUCUGU
Molecule: non-coding RNA, 111 nt
Organism: Acanthosepion pharaonis
Lineage: Eukaryota; Metazoa; Mollusca; Cephalopoda; Sepiida; Sepiidae
Source: the annotation of a GenBank genome assembly